Molecule: ribosomal RNA, 429 nt
Filed under: Actinomycetes bacterium
Lineage: Bacteria; Bacillati; Actinomycetota; Actinomycetes
Description: Actinobacteria bacterium partial 16S ribosomal RNA
Rfam family: Bacterial small subunit ribosomal RNA
Source: RNAcentral
UAGGGAAUCUUCCGCAAUGGGCGAAAGCCUGACGGAGCAACGCCGCGUGAGUGAUGAAGGUCUUCGGAUCGUAAAACUCUGUUAUUAGGGAAGAACAAAUGUGUAAGUAACUAUGCACGUCUUGACGGUACCUAAUCAGAAAGCCACGGCUAACUACGUGCCAGCAGCCGCGGUAAUACGUAGGCGGCAAGCGUUAUCCGGAAUUAUUGGGCGUAAAGCGCGCGUAGGCGGUUUUUUAAGUCUGAUGUGAAAGCCCACGGCUCAACCGUGGAGGGUCAUUGGAAACUGGAAAACUUGAGUGCAGAAGAGGAAAGUGGAAUUCCAUGUGUAGCGGUGAAAUGCGCAGAGAUAUGGAGGAACACCAGUGGCGAAGGCGACUUUCUGGUCUGUAACUGACGCUGAUUUGCGAAAGCGUGGGGAUCAAACAGG